ACGAACGCUGGCGGCGUGCCUAAUACCUGCAAGUAGAACGCACAGUUUAUACCGUAGCUUGCUACACCAUAGACUGUGAGUUGCGAACGGGUGAGUAACGCGUAGGUAACCUGCCUGGUAGCGGGGGAUAACUAUUGGAAACGAUAGCUAAUACCGCAUAAUAUUAAUUAUUGCAUGAUAAUUAAUUGAAAGGUGCAAUUGCACCACUACCAGAUGGACCUGCGUUGUAUUAGCUAGUAGGUGAGGUAACGGCUCACCUAGGCGACGAUACAUAGCCGACCUGGGAGGGUGGUCGGCCACACUGGGACUGAGACACGGCCCAGACUCCUACGGGAGGCAGCAGUAGGGAAUCUUCGGCAAUGGACGAAAGUCUGACCGAGCAACGCCGCGUGAGUGAAGAAGGUUUUCGGAUCGUAAAGCUCUGUUGUAAGAGAAGAACGGGUGUGAGAGUGGAAAGUUCACACUGUGACGGUAUCUUACCAGAAAGGGACGGCUAACUACGUG
RNAcentral lists this ribosomal RNA (504 nucleotides) under uncultured bacterium. RNAcentral's name for it is "partial 16S ribosomal RNA". It matches the Rfam family "Bacterial small subunit ribosomal RNA", at positions 29 to 507 of the family's 1533-position model. The record is from RNAcentral.